Molecule: ribosomal RNA, 668 nt
Filed under: Bacillus pumilus
Lineage: Bacteria; Bacillati; Bacillota; Bacilli; Caryophanales; Bacillaceae
Description: bacterial SSU rRNA
Rfam family: Bacterial small subunit ribosomal RNA
Source: RNAcentral
GGGCGUAAGGGCUCGCAGGCGGUUUCUUAAGUCUGAUGUGAAAGCCCCCGGCUCAACCGGGGAGGGUCAUUGGAAACUGGGAAACUUGAGUGCAGAAGAGGAGAGUGGAAUUCCACGUGUAGCGGUGAAAUGCGUAGAGAUGUGGAGGAACACCAGUGGCGAAGGCGACUCUCUGGUCUGUAACUGACGCUGAGGAGCGAAAGCGUGGGGAGCGAACAGGAUUAGAUACCCUGGUAGUCCACGCCGUAAACGAUGAGUGCUAAGUGUUAGGGGGUUUCCGCCCCUUAGUGCUGCAGCUAACGCAUUAAGCACUCCGCCUGGGGAGUACGGUCGCAAGACUGAAACUCAAAGGAAUUGACGGGGGCCCGCACAAGCGGUGGAGCAUGUGGUUUAAUUCGAAGCAACGCGAAGAACCUUACCAGGUCUUGACAUCCUCUGACAACCCUAGAGAUAGGGCUUUCCCUUCGGGGACAGAGUGACAGGUGGUGCAUGGUUGUCGUCAGCUCGUGUCGUGAGAUGUUGGGUUAAGUCCCGCAACGAGCGCAACCCUUGAUCUUAGUUGCCAGCAUUCAGUUGGGCACUCUAAGGUGACUGCCGGUGACAAACCGGAGGAAGGUGGGGAUGACGUCAAAUCAUCAUGCCCCUUAUGACCUGGGCUACACACGUGC